UUUGAAUCAGCAUGGCCAGAUCAAGAUCAUGUGCCUAAUGCAGUUGGAUGGGAAUUGAAUAAAGGGAAAAGAUCAUUUAUUCAGUCCCAAAAAGAAACAGUCUUUGCUAGUUUGUUUAUAUAGCACUUUUAGGUUUGUUUCUUUUCUAGUCCAAAUAAAGAAGAAAGUGUUUGUAUGAGACUUCCGUCCCAACAUUUCUGGUUUAUAUGGCAUCCAUGUUCAAGAAUCAGUACAAAUUGGUUGUUCGAGCUGGAGACAAAGUACAAGAGGUGGUGGUUCAGACAUGGCUGGGUACAGAGGAGAUGAAGCAUGUGAUUCUAUUGUGCACCAAAAGAGUCGAGUGAAUGUCGUUUCAUUGUAAAUUAGUUGUUGUAUUAUAGCUGACUGGAUCAUGGUUGGGUUGAAGCAGCUAAACCAUGGCCGAAUGGUCUCACUCAGCCCAGGUUCUAGCCAUGAAUAGAAGAAGAAGAGUUUCCAGAAGGAAUCGAAGGAGGGUAUACCGAAAACAUAGAAAAACACUUUUACUUUUAAGACAUUGAUGUUAACAGCUUGGUAUUCCUUUGCAAGAUUCAAAUGAUGUGUAUAUAGUUUGUAUUCUUUAUACUAUACUAAACAAUUCAGUUGUAUGUUACCAUAUACUUGAUUGGAUAUGGCAUAUUUUUUUCUAUAGUUAUUUGAUCGUAAUACAAGACAUGGAAGAAUGGAUCGGUGACAAACGAUUAAGAAUAAUGUCUAAUCAAAAAGUUUCAUGGACGCAUAUGACAAUGGUAUAUUCUAACAUGUUAGAAUUAUUAUGUUCUCAGUUUCUUCUAUCCAGGUGGAAAUAUGUGGUCAUGUUACUUUAGCAGCCACUCACUUCCUUUUCAAAUUUGGCUUGGUGAAAUCUAACACAGUUAAAUUUACUUUUCUGGAAUUUUUAGUGCUAAAAGAGUUAAGGACCCAUUAGGGAGUGAAAAUGUGCAAUAUUUGUAUUGAAUAUCAAUACGAGACAUCUAUUUCAGCAAAAAAAAAAAAAAAAAAAAAAAAAAAAAAAAAAAAAAAAACCAGAGUUACGAUAGAUGUCUUUAUGUUUAUUUAAAAAUAUAAUCCACCAUGUAACUAUUUCUAACUACAGUUUUGCAUACAAAUAUCUUGAUUUAUUAAAAUAUAGAUGAUUUUCACUGUCGUACCUCUAUUUGGUUUCACUAAUAGUUUUUGUCAAAAAGUCAGUAAAAGUUGUAAAAAAAUAGCUUAUUAUUUUAGAUUUUAUGUACUUUUAACGAUUUUUAUUAUUACUCAAGUUUGUAAAAAUCGUUCGGUGGUAGCUUGACGGUUGACUAACAAUAAACGAUUAAUCAGACUCGGCAGGGAUUAAUCGGGGACCCUAAAUUAUUAAUAAAAUUAUUUAAAAAAUUAAUAUUUCCUAAAAAAUUAAGUAUUUAGAAAUUUUAAGCUUUAAAAUUUUGAAAUUUUAAAAAUUUUAGUAUAAUAUUUAAAAAUUUGAAAGCUUAAAAGUUUAAAAUUUUAAAAUUUUGUUGUAAUAUUUGAUAAUUAUUUUUUUGGAAUUUUUUAAAUAUUUCCUGCCUAUGACCGCCGAGGACCACCAAGGCCGCUAAGGACCGACAAGCCCGAGUUUGACCGAUUAUGACCAAUUUCUGCCAAGCACCGUAAUCGUAAUUGGUUCAAGGUUGUCAUGCAAUUAAUCAGCUACCAAUGUUGAUUUCUGCAACACUGUUGUUACUUAAUAAAAAUGACUUUUUGUACUUCAGGUUUGCUACUGCACCUGGCUCGGAAGGUUCUGGUGUCACAAAGGAAGUGAAGGAGCUGAAAAAAAAAAGGCUGCAACAUAGUGGUUUUUAUGAACAUAUCAUCAAAUAAUAAUAACUCAUCAUAAAUUAAAAAGAAGAUAUUAUUUUGACAUAUAAUCAUAUCAAUGUAUUCUUUGUUUUCAGAUUUGGGAUAAAAUAUGUAACACCCACCGAAGAAGAUGACAAGAAAAAGGUCAGACUUUGUAGGUUUGGAUUCUCUUCAAGUGUUGAUCCUCUUGUCUUCAAGAAAAGAAAAA
Lactuca sativa (garden lettuce) is the source of this 2044-nucleotide non-coding RNA. Lineage: Eukaryota; Viridiplantae; Streptophyta; Magnoliopsida; Asterales; Asteraceae. The record is from RefSeq and is a predicted model, not a curated record.